This 377-nucleotide unclassified non-coding RNA is filed under the name uncultured Solirubrobacterales bacterium. RNAcentral's name for it is "contains 16S-23S intergenic spacer region". Lineage: Bacteria; Bacillati; Actinomycetota; Thermoleophilia; Solirubrobacterales. The record is from RNAcentral.
UCCGGUUUGUCACCGGCAGUCUCGCAUGAGUCCCCAACUAAAUGCUGGCAACAUACGACGGGGGUUGCGCUCGUUGCGGGACUUAACCCAACAUCUCACGACACGAGCUGACGACAGCCAUGCACCACCUGUGAAGAUCCAGCCAAACUGACCCUGUGUUUCCACACCGGUCACCAACAUGUCAAGCCCAGGUAAGGUUCUUCGCGUUGCGUCGAAUUAAACCACAUGCUCCGCUGCUUGUGCGGGUCCCCGUCAAUUCCUUUGAGUUUUAGCCUUGCGGCCGUACUCCCCAGGCGGGGCACUUACUGCGUUAGCGACGGCACGGGAGGAGUCGACACCUCCCACACCUAGUGCCCAUCGUUUACGGCGUGGACUAC